GACGUCUCCACCUGUGGACAGGUACCUGUCAAUCACCUGCAGCUGCUUCUGAUCACAGGCCUUCAGGAAAUCCUCCUCGUCCACGUAGUAUGGCUGAGACAGAAGAGACGCUGUAACUGAUCACCUGCUCAGGUUUUGUCCCCGACAUUUUCUGAUGUAAGUGAAUGAAUGAGUGAAUGAACGAGCCUCAGAGCGACAGGAGAUCCAUCUGCACUGAUGUUAAAUGAGAAAAGUUUCAGGAGCAAAGCAGAAAAAGAAAACAAAGCCGUCGAGGUGUGUGAGGGUCGUACCACUGAGCGGACAGCAGGGGGAGCAGCA
Long non-coding RNA from Thunnus maccoyii (southern bluefin tuna), 318 nucleotides. RefSeq lists it as uncharacterized. The transcript has 3 exons. The record is from RefSeq and is a predicted model, not a curated record. Lineage: Eukaryota; Metazoa; Chordata; Actinopteri; Scombriformes; Scombridae.